Molecule: RNA transcript, 1764 nt
Organism: Brassica oleracea var. oleracea
Lineage: Eukaryota; Viridiplantae; Streptophyta; Magnoliopsida; Brassicales; Brassicaceae
Gene name: transcription factor LUX-like
Exons: 3
Source: RefSeq, a predicted model, not a curated record
ACUCGUCCACGUUGGCAUUAACACAAAGCCAUCUGGAAUUAGACAUUGCGCUUUUUCUCUUAUCUUUUGCUUUUGUUUUUCUUUUCUUCUCUCUUCUGAAAAUUGCUCAUCUUCACAGACCAAACUUCUCCACGAAUCUUUUUCUCCGAUCUCGGAUUCGAAAUCUGAAUGGGAGAGGAAGUGAGGAUGAGCGAUUACGAUGUUUCCGGCGACGGAGAUAGGGUUCUUGAAUGGGAGAUGGGGCUACCUAGCGACGACGAUUUGACAUCUCUUUCUUACUCUCUGAUACCUCCGAAUCUCGCCAUGGCUUUCAGCAUAACUCCAGAGAAAAGCCGUACGAUCGAAGAUGUGAAUCGCGCAUCGGAGACGACGUUCUCGUCCCUGCGCAGCGGAUCUUCAGGUCUCAACACCUCGUCCUCUAACAAUAACAGCGUCGCGGCGGAGGAGGAAGAUCGAGUCGGAUCGAGCAGUCCCGGAUCGGAUUCGAAGAAACAAAAGACAUCCGGCGAUGGUGUGGAUCUCUCAACGGCAACGGCGGCGGAGGAAGGAGAUUCGGGAACUGAAGAUCCUACUGGGAAGACACUGAAACGACCGCGUUUAGUGUGGACGCCGCAGCUACACAAGAGAUUCGUGGACGUUGUGGCUCACUUAGGGAUUAAGAACGCAGUGCCGAAGACGAUUAUGCAGCUGAUGAACGUCGAAGGAUUGACUCGAGAGAACGUCGCGUCUCAUCUCCAGAAGUACAGGCUGUACCUCAAACGGAUGCAGGGGUUGACGACGGAAGGUCCGUCUUCUUCCGACAAGCUCUUCUCCUCGACGCCUGUGCCUCCACAGAGCUUCCAAGAAAUCGGAGGCGGUAACGGUAACGGCCAAGGGAACGUAUCCGCCGGUGUGCCGAUUCCGGCGCCCUACGGAGGGCAGCCGAUGAUGCAGAUGCCUGUCUAUGCCCAUCAUAUGGGUAUGCAAGGGUAUCAUCACCAGAGUCACGGUCAUGAUCCUUAUCAUCAGAACCGUCAGCAUCAUCAUGGAGCUGGAGGGUUCGAAGCUAAUCCAUAUAUGAUGCAGCAGAACAAGUUCGGAUCCAUGGCGUCUUACCCUCCUGUUGGGGGUAGAAGUGCGCAUGAGAAUUAAAAAGAAUCGAUUUGAGAUGCUACUUGCUGUGAGUUUAUACAUCGCAGAAGCCAUUUUUCUCCCCUACGUUUUGCUUUCCUCAGAAUAAUCCAUUUCUUCAGGUUCUUGACUUGUGUCCGCAUCAAUAUGUCUUUUAUGUUUAGCCGAGUUUUUUAACCAAGUCCGCAUUGCAUCUACAUAGGAGAGAUCAUACAACAUAUCAUGUCGAAGCUAGACCAAUGAGCAUUCUUGGAACACAGUGCAUACUUGGGGACUUCUGUCAGGUUUCGUGUACUCAUUUUCUAGAUUGUGAGGUAAGUCUCUCAUGUCUUGUUUCUUUGCUUUGUUAAGGGUUUAUUUCUUUAAGAUGGCGUCAAAACACAAUCUUCAUGUUUCUUUACUUUUCAAUAUACGAAUCAGUUUAAUCUUUUAAAAGGAGAGCUCAUUUUUGUCCAAUCAAAUUGUCUCACAUAUGACGACCUUUUCUUUUCUGUAAGUAAUAACCUUUCAUUGGACUGGAGAGCCACGUACCAAUGAACUUCCGACACAAGGGAGAAAGUGACAUUCCAACAAAAGCGAAAACUCUUUUUUUAUUCUUUCUUGCUGACAUGAGUUAUUGGUUUCAGCUACGUAUGGUUCUACUUUGAGAUCAAU